UACGAAGGGGGCUAGCGUUGCUCGGAAUCACUGGGCGUAAAGCGCACGUAGGCGGCUUGUUAAGUCAGGGGUGAAAUCCUGGAGCUCAACUCCAGAACUGCCUUUGAUACUGGCGAGCUUGAGUUCGGGAGAGGUGAGUGGAACUGCGAGUGUAGAGGUGAAAUUCGUAGAUAUCGUAAGGAAGACCAGUGGCGAAGGCGGGUCUCUGGACAGUUCCUGACGCUGAGGCACGAAGGUCAGGGGAGCAAACGGG
RNAcentral lists this ribosomal RNA (253 nucleotides) under uncultured bacterium. RNAcentral's name for it is "partial 16S ribosomal RNA". It matches the Rfam family "Bacterial small subunit ribosomal RNA", at positions 524 to 776 of the family's 1533-position model. The record is from RNAcentral.